GGUAAAGUAAGCUAAAUACCAAGCUAUCGGGUUCAUACCCCGAAAAUGGGUAAUUACCCCUUUACCA
This 67-nucleotide transfer RNA is filed under the name Clithon retropictum. Its description in RNAcentral is "tRNA-Met". The record is from RNAcentral. Lineage: Eukaryota; Metazoa; Mollusca; Gastropoda; Cycloneritida; Neritidae.